RNAcentral lists this ribosomal RNA (520 nucleotides) under uncultured eukaryote. RNAcentral's name for it is "SSU rRNA". It matches the Rfam family "Eukaryotic small subunit ribosomal RNA", at positions 613 to 1132 of the family's 1831-position model. The record is from RNAcentral.
UUGCGGUUAAAAAGCUUGUAGUUGGAUCUCGGCGGGCAGGGGGUGGUUCGCUCUUCAGCGCUACUGCCCCGCUUUGCCCGUGUGAUUGGCGGAGGUUUCGGGGUGCUCUUCGUUGAGUGACUCGGAGCGCCGUCAGGUUUACUUUGAAAAAAUUAGAGUGCUCAAAGCAGGCUUUUCACGCUUGAAUAUUCGUGCAUGGAAUAGUGGAAUAGGAACUCGUUUCUAUUUUGUUGGUUUUCGGAAAUCGAGUUAAUGAUUAACAGGGACAAUUGGGGACAUUAGUAUUCAGACGACAGAGGUGAAAUUCUUGGACCGUCUGAAGACUGACUACUGCGAAAGCAUUUGCCAAGAGUGUUUUCAUUAAUCAAGAACGAAAGUUAGAGGUUCGAAGGCGAUCAGAUACCGCCCUAGUUCUAACCAUAAACGAUGCCAGCUAGCGAUCUGCCGAGUUUUUUUUGUANGCUCCGCAAGAAGCUUUCGGGAAACCCAAAGCUUUUGGGUUCCGGGGGAAUAUGGUUGC